UAUGAUCCUAUAUUUUUCGAAUUGUUCGUCGACCAAAAACAGUUAUGGAUCAUGAAAACAACGCUUCUUCGUGUUAAAGUUGAUUGGGGACUAUGAUCCUAUAUUUUUGGUGUUUAUUUUGGAUGGUCCGGAGUUUUUGGCUGCAACUAUGUUGGACAGAGAUAUGCUUGCUAUGGCUGGAAAUUGGUACCAUAUCGGU
Helianthus annuus (common sunflower) is the source of this 199-nucleotide long non-coding RNA. RefSeq lists it as uncharacterized. Lineage: Eukaryota; Viridiplantae; Streptophyta; Magnoliopsida; Asterales; Asteraceae. The record is from RefSeq and is a predicted model, not a curated record. The transcript is spliced from 3 exons.